UGCUGUCUGAAGGUCAGCCCUUGCGGCGAU
Molecule: small RNA, 30 nt
Filed under: Bombyx mori (domestic silkworm)
Lineage: Eukaryota; Metazoa; Arthropoda; Insecta; Lepidoptera; Bombycidae
Description: ovarian small RNA-280
Source: RNAcentral